AUGCUCUCAGGGUCCCCCACUCUAGUGUCUGAAUCCAGGAAGUUUAUCUUUACCAGGAAUGGUUUAGUGGCCUGGCAUCGCCAGCUAUUUUGGCAGCAUUCUCCCAGCCACCCAAAGCCACCACACCUUUCUUUGGCGAGCAAUCCUGGGCUUUCUUGGGUUCAAUUUCCCUGCCACCUGUCCAAGGAGCCACACCUUCUGGGGAAUGAGGAUGUUCAGUUUUAGAGCAGCAGAGCUCCAGGCUGCCCAGAAGAGGCUUAGUGGAAGACCAGCCCAUGGGCAAAGAGAGAUCUGAUCAGACUGGCCUCUAAGAAUAAUAGGGAUGCAAGAAGAGAGGGGGAAUGGCCCUAUAAGUGCAUGCAUUGCUGGCAGAAAUAACUGGUUUUCCAGCAUUAAGAAUUCACAGGAAGCAGAGUUAAGAUUUCCGAGUAACUCUAGUGGCCAGAACCUGGCACUUGCUUCUUGUACCCAUAGUCUGGACUCGUCCUGAAGCCUACAAGUACCCAGUCAACAGAGUGGGGAGGAGGCCUGAGAGAAAGUGUCAGUGCAAUAGGGAGGGAAUUCUCUGUGUGCCACAGUAUCAAAUAUUAUCUCUUUAACCAGCCAGUCCAGUUAGAAGUCAUUUUAAAUCAAAGGGAUUAAUGUUGCCCUUCCAAUAACAGCCAUGCAAUGGCCUAUCGUGUCUAACAUGAGUGUGGUUUAUUAUAGAUAGAAGUCAUCUUUUCCUUGUGCUGUGUUGAAUUUAUUUUGUCACUCAAAAUCCAUUCUAGAGGAGCAGAGAAAUCCAGUUCCGGCUUUAUCCUCUUCUCAGGAGUCAUAUGUAGAAUCCAUUCCAGCUCUUCUAGAAAUCCAGUUUGGGCUCCAUUCUUCCCCUCUCAAGUGCAUUUCCAGGCAGCAGUGGCUAGAGGGUUAAAUGAGGAUCACCUGCUCUGCAGACAAUGCUGUGGAUUUGGGGCCUGAGGGGGCUGAGCACUCCUAGCCCCCAAGGAUGUUGCUCAGAAGGUGUGCAAUACCGUACAGGAGAGCACCAGGCCUUUCAGUAGCAAACACACAGCGCCCCUCAGCAGAGAGAUUGGGUCCAGAAUGGACAGGGGCACUUGCAAUGCAUCCUAAGUGCUAGGUGGGGAGACAGUAUCUUGCAACCAGCCCACUGUGUUCCAUUCCCUUCUCAGUCACUGAAACCAAACUCAUCUCCUGCCUGUUACACCAAUGCUGAAGUCGGAUGGCACCUGGCAGGACCGAGAGACAAGCUCUGCCCUGUCCUGUCUUUAUUUAUUUAUUACCAGAGGCUGUAAACAGCAGUGCUUUUUUACCCUCUUUCUUUUCCUUUCUUUUGUACUUUGGAACAACGUGUUGUAAUAAAUGCCCA
This 1369-nucleotide long non-coding RNA is filed under the name Gopherus agassizii (Agassiz's desert tortoise). RNAcentral describes it as "lncRNA (ENSGAGG00000018794.1)". Lineage: Eukaryota; Metazoa; Chordata; Testudines; Testudinidae. The record is from RNAcentral.